This 253-nucleotide ribosomal RNA is filed under the name uncultured bacterium. RNAcentral's name for it is "partial 16S ribosomal RNA". It matches the Rfam family "Bacterial small subunit ribosomal RNA", at positions 524 to 776 of the family's 1533-position model. The record is from RNAcentral.
UACGUAGGGUGCAAGCGUUGUCCGGAAUUACUGGGCGUAAAGCGUGCGUAGGCGGUGGUCCAAGUCUGGUGUGAAAUCUCCCGGCUCAACUGGGAGGGUGCGCCGGAAACUGGGCCGCUGGAGUACGGGAGAGGCAAGCGGAAUUCCAGGUGUAGCGGUGAAAUGCGUAGAUAUCUGGAGGAACACCCGUGGUGCAGACGGCUUGCUGGACCGUGACUGACGCUGAGGCACGAAAGCGUGGGUAGCAAACAGG